CGCCCCUCCGGACCGGGAUAACGAGACCGAAAGGACUGCUAAUACCGGAUAAGCCCACAAGCCAACCGGGCGUGCGGGAAAAGUACGGGAUCCUUCGGGACCGUAUGCGGAAGGAUGAGUUUCGCGUUCCAUUAGAUAGUUGGUGAGGUAACGGCCCACCAAGUCGACGAUGGAUAGCUGGUCUGAGAGGAUGAUCAGCCACACUGGAACUGAGACACGGUCCAGACUCCUACGGGAGGCAGCAGUGGGGAAUCUUGCGCAAUGGGGGAAACCCUGACGCAGCCAUGCCGCGUGAGUGAAUGAAGGCCUUCGGGUUGUAAAGCUCUGUCUAAGGGGACGAAUGGCACAUAGAACAAGACAUUAUGCGCGUGACGGUACCCUUAAAGAAAACACCGGCUAACUCCGUGCCAGCCGCGGC
This 418-nucleotide ribosomal RNA is filed under the name uncultured bacterium. Its description in RNAcentral is "bacterial SSU rRNA". It matches the Rfam family "Bacterial small subunit ribosomal RNA", at positions 126 to 518 of the family's 1533-position model. The record is from RNAcentral.